RNAcentral lists this long non-coding RNA (7572 nucleotides) under Nicotiana tabacum (common tobacco). RNAcentral's name for it is "long non-coding RNA (NTAB_LNC008583)". Lineage: Eukaryota; Viridiplantae; Streptophyta; Magnoliopsida; Solanales; Solanaceae. The record is from RNAcentral.
AUUGAUCUUUCAUGAACUUGGCUUCGAUUCUAAUGAACUAAUGAUGCGUUAAAGCAUUUGAUGUACUUUUAAAGACUCAUAACUGUGCAAAUUUUAGUGUUCCAAAUUGCUUUCCAUGCGUAUGUUGAAUGUCUCGGUGAUUCUCAUCGUCAAAGUUCUCCGGGCAUGAGGACUGGGUUGUAUAUGCAGCAUCUAUUCAAGCUUCAAAGUAGCGCGGCACAAUGACUGUAAGGUAAACCAAGCAAUAGACAAGGAUUGAAAAGAUGGUGAUUUUCUGCUACUGUUGUUAUUGAACAUUUAAUUUGGUUAGACACUCUUAAGCUUUUCCUGCUUUUUCGUAAGGCUAAUCCCAAAACUUAUUUCGAUUUCCUGUCAAUUCCAUGGAAAUAGCCUCUCGUUCUAGUUCCAAAUUAUCUGAGUGCCAAAUUUUUUGAAGUUCUCUGUGUUGUUCUGAGCACUAGUAGCUUAAUCCGAUGCAUGGUAUUUGUACAGCCUAUCUUCCUUUGACUUUUACAUUGUCAUGUCUCUAUUAGAUGUAAACACAUCGCAGCGCUAACUAAUUCAGAGGUUUUUAUAUGACAAUAGCUACCCUGUUAUAAUGAAAAGUAUAUUGUGCUAAUUUCUAAAUAUCAAGGAGUAAAUAAAAAAUAUAGUGUAAUAGCAUUCAAUUAGUGAUAGAAGGAAUUUGUUAUUUGAAAAGCAAUCAAAACAUCUGAGGCUGCGACUGCCCAACUUUUAGAAACUAAUGCUACUGACAAUUAUCUCUGCUAAGAUCCCUCCUCUCUUACCCUCUUCUUAUUUUUGGCAUUUGAAGAACACUGAACAACUAUAGCUGGGCUUCUUACGGUGUGUUGUCAUUUUUGCCUCUCUGGUCAUCAGGCUCUGUUGAUCUGUACUUGUAGCGAGUAGCCCAGAGGAGAUAAUGUAGGAAAUUUAACCCACUUAAUAUGCACAUCAACCAAUAAAACCUUUCAAGGUGAUAAUGAUUCAAAUUACUCCCGUAGAGCCAUGGCGUUCGCUGAAACCUACCAGUUAUAUGGUUUACUAUUGAUACGAUCACUGAACUAAGGUAAUAACCCAUGGCUAGUGAUGCCCAAGAGACUGCUGUUGCCAAUGACCUCAUGCUUAAGGGGGCCUCUGUGAAGAAGAACUCCAUCAAGCCAGCCAAGCUGAAGAGAUCAGCUGAUCCCAGGAACAGAUAUUGCAAUGCUACCCAAAGAAAUGUUAUAGGUAGUGGUUCAGUUGAAUUCAUUAAGCCAGAUUGCGCUGCCACUCUCUUCCGCUUCAUCUCCACUAGAGCUGCAACAGUCAUGGCUACAAUUGAUAGGAAUAGCCCGGUUCCGAUUCUCUGUAGAUGAGUAAUGCCCAUUUCACUCUUAGUCGCUGCCCUGGCGAAGGGGAUUAUAAUAUGAUUAUAUACUGGUGCCAGUAUCAUGGUGAAUAUGACUGGAAAUAUUGGAAGAGAAGCUGGUGGAACUUUUAGAGCACCAAUAUAUGUGUUCAUGGUGGCUGCUUGUUGUAUAGAAAAUGUUGAAAGCUGAGCCAAGCAACAGUUCAGCAUAACGGUUGACAUAAAUAUUGGCAAGAUCUUGACGACUGUUUUCACCUCUUCUACUUGUGUGACUGUGCAGUGAAGUGAUGGGUAGGCUGCUUUGUUCAUUGUUGAUUUAUCGAUGAACUUCUGGUCCUUCAUUUCACUCUGAAUUUCUUCCUUCCAUUCCCCGUGUCCUUCUUCUUCGUGACUUAUCUCAGUUUUGUUUUGGGGGGAUUUCCUCGUGUCUAACACAUUAUUGAUAGAAUUCUUAGGAAAAAGAGAGUUGCAAAAUGCUGCUACUAGAACCUGUUGAAACAAUUCAAUGAAGAUUACUCUAUUUUAGUAUGCUGGUACAGGAUGCAGGCAACUAGAAGUCUAGAACAUACCUUAAAAAUGGUUGUAAAUGGGCUUCCUUUGGGAACUUUGAUCCUGUAAGUCCCAGAUCCAAAGAGGAAAAUGGCAAUUGAGCUCAAUAUUGCUACGGUUGAGAUACCAAAACCCCACUGCCAGCCUUUAUUAUCUUCUACCCAUACUACUAAUGUCACUGCAAUCAAUGCUCCACAAGAGAGGCAGAAGAUGUAAUAAUUGAAGAAGGUAGAUCUGUGCUUCCUUCCUUGUGGCGAAUUCUCAUCGAAUUGCUCCGCUCCAUGUGCAGGAAGUGAACCUUUUAUCCCUCCAACACCCAAGGCCACCAGGUAGAGGCCACCAAAUAACAUUGCUGCUUGGCCACGACCAGCUUCGUUACAGGAGGUGUUUCUGUUUAUGGAUGCACAGAUAGGCGGCCUCAGGGAAGGUAUGCGAGCUUGAAAUGUGAGCAUCAAUAGUCCCUGUUCCAAUAGUUUUGAUUAUUAACAAUUCAUGUGACAUGGCGUCCUGCUAUGUUAUCAUCUUCUGAGUGGUUAUCUUUCAUGUCUCCGAAAGGAGAAAGGCUAUGUGUCGUGUUUUCUUUACCAUGCUAACUAAGAACUAAAGAAGCAGAAUGUUUGUCAUCGUGUUAGGAAGCAUAGGUACUUCCUUUUAAGAACCAUACAGUUGUCCCUGCAAAACUAUUAUGUCCAUACACAAAGCCCAUCUUUUUCUGGGUCAGAGAAAAGCCAUGGACAGUUCUUUAUAGAAGUCUUGAUCACUUGAGAAUUUUAUCUGGUGAAGUCGGAUGAAACGGACUUUGGUCAGGUGCUCAAUACCUAUCUUAAGUUGUGCUUUUUGUUACUGUAUUUCUGUAUAUUGAGCAGCUCAUUAUUUGAGCUUUCAUUAUUUCUCCAUGAAAGCUAAAGCAACAAUUUAUUACCAGUAUGUCUUUUUCAUUUUAAAAUAACCUGAAAAUGAGCUGCACCGAUUUAUGUACCAUAGGUCAUCAACGGGGUGAUUGUGCUGGGUCCCAUUUUUCUCAUUCCUGAUAUCUAAUUGGACAGAACGAACUCAAGACAUGUGAAGUUUGAUGUACAAACAUUUGUUCUUCUAUAAAUAAUCUUUGUUUCUACUAUGCUACUGACCCACAGGUUAUUAAAUGGCAUGAAUAGAAAUAUACAUGAUGUGGGGUAAGUAAAGUAAUGAAGUGAGUCUUAUGCUUGCUACUAUUGUUAGUGUGUGUUUGCUAGUAUUCUUAGUGUAUUCAUGACAAUAAUAUGAGUGUGGCAUUACUGAUUCUUCCACAGACGACCUCAUAUAUCCUUAUAACACUAUCUUAUGGACUAGCUGGUAAUUGCAUUGAAUUCUGCUAUCUCAAAUGCAGACCUAAAAGAGCUGACUGUUUUUCUCAUAUUGCUGCAAUGGUAAGACGAUGCACGCCUGCUAAUGAUAUCCUAUUCCUUUUGUCCAGUUUCCUGUGAUUGUUAUUAAGGUCCAGAUUGGCAGGUGUAGGAAGGUGUACUCUAUCUACAUAUGCUUUUGGAUAGUAGCAGACUAUACAAUGCUAGGAAAACAUUGAUCUCAAAGAGAUUCAACAAGUGUUAUGUGGUUAGUGCAUGUUAUUGAACAAAUGAUAAUCUCAAAGACACAGAUUACUUACCAUAAAUUCAAUUGCUGCACUAAUCAGAUAGAUGUAAUAGGUGGUGAGGCAAGCAUCAGAUGAAAACCCGCCAAGUAGAGCGAGAAGGAAGGAAGUUCCCAUAAAGUUGGUAACUAUGUUGGCUGAAGCAGAUGGAGAAAAAUUCAUAUUUUUUGAUAGAUAAAGGACUAGAUUGCUCGCAGUUGCCAGGUAUGCUAAGUUCUCUAAAAUCUCCACCACUACGUCCACAAUUGAAAAAAUUCAGAUUGUCAGUUGUUACAAUCUAUAAUUUACCUUAAUAAAUAAAUUUAGCCAGCUUAUAAGUACUAAUUCAUGAAGUUCAUUGCUGUAGCAUUAGAAGCUAACAUAGUGUAUGGGAUUCAAAUUGUAAUGAAAGCAACAUGUGCAUGAGGAGAGGUGGUUUACUGACCCAACACAAAAGAGGCGGCAACCACACCUCCAUGACAUCCUUUCAUGGCUGGCCUGUUUCUCCAGUCCACGUAACCUUCCCACAUGGUCAGUGUCUUCGCAUGAUCCUGCAGCACAGUGCACAUAAAUUUAGUAAAGAUUUGCUGGAGGGAAUAUAAAAAAGAAGAGAUGAGAGCGGGAAUGUGCACCAUCUCUCUCUCUCUCUCUCUCUCUCUCUCUCUCUCUGUGAUGUUUCUGGGAUCUUGAUGUAGAAGUCCCUAGUGGAAAGUCGUCCAGUGCUACAAGGAAGUUAUGCCAGUGUCACCUUUAAAUACUGAAAGGAUGGGGAUGUCAAGUUGUGUAGAAAAAUCUGGAAUCUCUGAAUGUGACCCUGCACUUAGUAAUAUCUUUUUGCUUAACGUAUGGUAAAACCUCAUAUAUUUAUGUGUACAUGCUUCUUGGUACAUACUUUUGGGUGGGGGGGGGGGAGAAAAAACAAAACAAAGAAGUGGUGAGUGCUCACUAUUUUCAGAAUGGUAUACGAGUAUUAGUAACAUAGUUUACGUGGAAUAAUUUCAUCUUUAUAUUAGCUUGAGCUGCUUGGUUCAUUUUAGUUUUUUAACUGUAGACGUUUGGUUUUUGAGUAUUUGUGUGUCUCGUCGUAUUUCUUCCUUCUAUCACAAAGUGCUAUAUGUUCUGUGUAGCAUGUGUUGUAAUGCUUUUCUAAGGGUGAACGGAAUCCAAUAAAUUGAAAUAAUCUGAUGAAAUAGAUCUCACGUUCAAGCAUGUUGGGAAGGUAAAUAAAACUCAUGAUGGGAUGUUGUACUCCUUUAGUUUUAUCUUCAGCUUCAUCUCACUCCUAUCCCACUCUGCUUUCUCUUUUCUAAAUCAAAACUCAAGUGUUAUAUAUUCCCCUCCCUCUGCUUUGAUCUUCUUCCAGAUAUAGUCCAUGCCCUGGUACAUGUUAACUUACCUUGAGUCACAGGGCUCUGUUUGAAAAAUAACCUUUUUCUUUUUGUGUCUUUGUGAACACAACACUGAGGUUGGAAUCCUGAGGGACAUGAAACGGGGAGAAGAGAGGAGGGUUCAGGUGGAAGAUGAUGAACUGAAUAACUAUGUUAAACUUCAACUCCUGCUUUAUGAUGAAUUACUAUAGUUUGAACAUUUGAAUAAUGGAAUGGUCAUCUCAUUUUGUUUAAUAAUAUUCUCUAUUUGAUUUUCUUUGUAUCUCGUGACAUAAUCUAUUAGAAUUGCUCUAUCUCUGUCUUGAUGCUCGUUGGUAAAAUGAGAUUAUUCAUUAUAGUCGUUGUCUAUAAAGAGCGGUCAGUUUCUACUUCACGUGGGGCUUGUCCUUGGCAGUGUCUGUAGAGGGUUCUCAACUUUGCCAUUGCUUCUUCUUGGUACUUGAGUUAUGGCAUUAAUUUCAGCUUAUCAUCUGAGUGGAACUCAUGUCUGCAAGUUUCCAUGUGGACCCUCUUAUUAUGGGAAUUAUACUCCUAAAGGUCUCAAAAUUGAGUGGCUAGAAGUCCUUAAGGUCAUAGCUAUUUACCAUGCGCUUCCUUCUAAUGUCCUGUCGCACUCUGUUGUCUAAGCAAGCAAUUUCAGAUAGAACGGCAUGAAGUAAGAAAACCUAACAGUAUUAGCUUGUCCACGAAAAAUAAUAUAUUUUACUUUUACUCAAGCGAGUGGUAUCAAGUUGUAGCGGCCUAGCGGGUAGCCUUUUCCAAUUAUGUAAUGGCACAGAAAUUGUAAAUUUUUGAUCUCCUUAAAGCAUAUAUAUAUAUAUAUAUAUAUAUAUAUAUAUAUAUGCUUUAGAUCAAUCAUGUCAUUAUCAUAAUUUUUCUUUUCAAAAAAUUGAAAUUGUUUGCAUCAAUGACAUCCUAUAGUCCUCACACCAAAUUACCUUCUUCCAAAUUGUGUACCCUGUGAUUUCAGAUUUUGUUUUUCAAUAAAGAGAUGGUGUUCCAUAAGCUUUAUUUUCUUCUCUGUUUUUAAAUAGGCCAAGAUAUAUAUCCAAUAGUUUCUAAAGAUUUUCAGGAUAUUUAAUAUGCUUGGACAUUAGAAACAAUUCCACCAUCAUAUCGCAUAUAUGUUGUUGCAAGCAAUGAUGAAAUACCAAGAUACAUCCCUGACUCCCUUUUUCGGGUCGUGCUUUUUAUUUUUAAGAUCAACAUUGCAUGUGCUUUUCCUAAUUUUAUGUUGUGUGCUUUGAGCACUAGGUUCUUUUCUAAAUCAGAGAUGUAAGAACUUUUUAACUUCAGUACAUCUGAAUGUUUUUCCAUUACCAUGACAUAAGUUUGAUAGUAAACAGGUAAUGAUUUUAUGGAAGUGGUGUUGUUUUUUGGCCAUCAAACUGAAAGGUUACAAUUAUAGGUGCUGGUUUCAUGACGUGCAUUGCACAGUAAGAAGGGAUUAUUGGUUCCUAUAUAUGGUAUGUUGAGACGUCUAGAACAGUUGGAAUCUUUGACAUUACUGUUAAGUUUCGCAAUUAUGUUUUCCUCUCUUGUUUUUUUUUUUUGAGGGGACUCUUCCUUAUUAGUUGUUCUUUUUUUCUUUACUGUGUUCUUGUAUAAUCUCCUAUAAAUAUGUGGGCAAGUUCAUCAUUAUCUGAAGUCAAAUAUCUUGCAAAACUUUAUGCCGAUGCUCAUCCACCCUUGCAUUAGUUCGGUGGACUUCGGAUGUUCUACAUCCUUCUUAUGCUCAACUGAAGGAGCUGGAAAACCAUCAUUUAAGACAUGUCUGGUUAUGCCAAGUCGACAAUGCAUCUUUUAAGUGUUUGGACUCUGGAUUCUUAUCCAUAGUCCAGGUUAUGGCAAGCUGAUCAUGUUGCAACUAACUUUUAGGCCCAUAAAAUAGUAAAUAUGUUCGAUGGUUGCUAAUGAUAUUCCUAUUGGGACCUUACCAAGCAUUUUGUGCUCAAUUUUGAAAGCUCCUAUUGUGACAGGGAGGCCUUAGUCAAGAAAUUGGUGAAUUGGGUCAAAAAUGUCCUCGUCAUUCCUUUCUGUGGCUCACAGGCUUUUUAGUGUUCCCGCUGUAUAUUUAUCUGUACUAACUGGGCUGAAGUGCUUCUUUUUUUUCCCGCCUCAGAUUAUUGCAUUGCUUGCUGCUUUUGGAAUCCUUAAAUCGUUUACUUCAUCAUCUUGGGAAAUUCAAGAUGAAGAGCCAGUAGCCACAUAGUUUUUAACAUUACUCUCCUGUGCCUAUCAUUUUUGUCUUGGAGUUCCUGUAUCUGGCCUCUGGAAAGAGCCGGUGGAUGGGAGUGGGAUGUGAAGUGGAUAUAAGUAUUCCUAUUUCUGGACAGAGAUAGGAAGUUUUUUGUUAGGAAAAGGACCUGGACAGGAAAAGGCUUACCUGAUUGGUUGCUUGGUCUCAGGAGUCAGGGGUCACAUGUGCCCUUUUCCUUCUGAAAGAGGGAACUCCAGUGGACAGUGGUGCUAUUUUGAAACCUAAGUAGACCACUUGAAUGUCCUAUCUGGAUGAUGCCAGAUGCAUUUGAUAAACAAAACUAAUUCAGUUUAUAGCUACCACGGUCUAAAAUAUUAGGGACCUUGGUGUAAAUGUCAGCAAAUGAUUCAUAUAUUAAAAAAAAGGUUCAGCAAAAAUAAUUCUGAAAAACACUGGUUUCAAGGAAAUACAUCUGUGG